Molecule: transfer RNA, 22 nt
Filed under: Hepatica acutiloba
Lineage: Eukaryota; Viridiplantae; Streptophyta; Magnoliopsida; Ranunculales; Ranunculaceae
Description: Anemone acutiloba partial transfer RNA-Phe
Source: RNAcentral
GUCGGGAUAGCUGAGGUUGUCA